UGUGGGCUGGCCUGCCUAGCAUGUAGCUGGAACUCCCUUCUAUGGAUUCUGACAUACAGAGUUGCUGGGGCUUUCAGAGAGAUGAACCAUGGAGAGAUCGUUCCACGUUAAAGAGUCUGGGUUCACGUCCACCAAUAGCACAAUGAGCCCCAGAUUUGCAGAGUGCCCGGACUAUGGUUGUCCUGUGAAUAGUUUCCCUCAUCUCACCUGUGGAGCUCUCCAGCUCCUUCAGAGUAACAAUUUGCACUCUUGGAUGCUUCACGGACUAAUGCCCAGCUUAGGCAGUCCCUGAUUUUUGGUGGAUGGCCUGUGUUCUCAUAUUCUCAUGUAUUCUCAUAUUCCAGUAGUUUUAAUGGUGCUCUGUGGGUGUUUAAAGUUUGGCAUAUUUGCAAAAAAUAAAUAAACCCUGAUUCAUAUUUUUCCAGAAA
Ictalurus punctatus (channel catfish) is the source of this 428-nucleotide long non-coding RNA. RefSeq lists it as uncharacterized. Lineage: Eukaryota; Metazoa; Chordata; Actinopteri; Siluriformes; Ictaluridae. The record is from RefSeq and is a predicted model, not a curated record. The transcript is spliced from 2 exons.